Molecule: non-coding RNA, 24 nt
Filed under: Mus musculus (house mouse)
Lineage: Eukaryota; Metazoa; Chordata; Mammalia; Rodentia; Muridae
Source: RNAcentral
UGAUGCCCGUCUAUCAGGAUUCUC